AUCAGAAGCAAAACAAGAAAGGAAAGGCUGGUCAAGGGACAAGGAGGAGCUGGAGAGAGAGAUCCGACACAAGGAAACCAGUCUGGACACCAUGGCCUGAGAUCAGACAUACAUGCUGAAUGGAGUGGACGAGGAUGCUAGUGGUGGAAACGAGAUACAUGCACAGGCAUUUCUCAACACAUUGUUUCAUAAGGAGAAGAGAAUGUAGCAGUUUAGACAGUCUUUCUAGAUGGGAAAUGAAGCCAUGCGUGUGGCUGAGCUUGCCUCAGAAGAAGGUACAGACUGAGCAGAGAGCCA
Long non-coding RNA from Ailuropoda melanoleuca (giant panda), 297 nucleotides. RefSeq lists it as uncharacterized. The record is from RefSeq and is a predicted model, not a curated record. Lineage: Eukaryota; Metazoa; Chordata; Mammalia; Carnivora; Ursidae. The transcript is spliced from 4 exons.